Molecule: ribosomal RNA, 110 nt
Filed under: Caerostris darwini
Lineage: Eukaryota; Metazoa; Arthropoda; Arachnida; Araneae; Araneidae
Source: RNAcentral
CUGCCGUACCAUGCUGAAUAUACCGGUUCUCGUUAGAUCACCGAAGUCAAGCAUCAUUGGGCGCGGUCAGUACUUGGGUGGGUGACCACCUGGGAACACCGCGUGCCGUU